GGAUUGAAUGGGCGCAGCCUGAUCCAGCAAUGCCGCGUGCAGGAUGAAGGCCUUCGGGUUGUAAACUGCUUUUGUACGGAACGAAACGGUCUGCCCUAAUACGGUGGGCUAAUGACGGUACCGUAAGAAUAAGCACCGGCUAACUACGUGCCAGCAGCCGCGGUAAUACGUAGGGUGCGAGCGUUAAUCGGAAUUACUGGGCGUAAAGCGUGCGCAGGCGGUUAUGUAAGACAGAUGUGAAAUCCCCGGGCUCAACCUGGGACCUGCAUUUGUGACUGCAUAGCUAGAGUACGGUAGAGGGGGAUGGAAUUCCGCGUGUAGCAGUGAAAUGCGUAGAUAUGCGGAGGAACACCGAUGGCGAAGGCAAUCCCCUGGACCUGUACUGACGCUCAUGCACGAAAGCGUGGGGAGCAAACAGGAUUAGAUACCCUGGUAGUCCACGCCCUAAACGAUGUCAACUGGUUGUUGGGUCUUCACUGACUCAGUAACGAAGCUAACGCGUGAAGUUGACCGCCUGGGGAGUACGGCCGCAAGGUUGAAACUCAAAAAAAUUGACGGA
RNAcentral lists this ribosomal RNA (559 nucleotides) under uncultured bacterium. RNAcentral's name for it is "bacterial SSU rRNA". It matches the Rfam family "Bacterial small subunit ribosomal RNA", at positions 366 to 917 of the family's 1533-position model. The record is from RNAcentral.